RNAcentral lists this ribosomal RNA (1391 nucleotides) under human gut metagenome. RNAcentral describes it as "bacterial SSU rRNA". It matches the Rfam family "Bacterial small subunit ribosomal RNA". The record is from RNAcentral.
AGAGUUUGAUCCUGGCUCAGGAUGAACGCUGGCGGCGUGCUUAACACAUGCAAGUCGAACGAAGCACUUUAUUUGAUUUCCUUCGGGACUGAUUAUUUUGUGACUGAGUGGCGGACGGGUGAGUAACGCGUGGGUAACCUGCCUUGUACAGGGGGAUAACAGUUGGAAACGGCUGCUAAUACCGCAUAAGCGCACGGCAUCGCAUGAUGCAGUGUGAAAAACUCCGGUGGUAUAAGAUGGACCCGCGUUGGAUUAGCUAGUUGGUGAGGUAACGGCCCACCAAGGCGACGAUCCAUAGCCGACCUGAGAGGGUGACCGGCCACAUUGGGACUGAGACACGGCCCAUACUCCUACGGGAGGCUGCAGUGGGGAAUAUUGCACAAUGGGCGCAAGCCUGAUGCAGCGACGCCGCGUGAGGGAUGGAGGCCUUCGGGUUGUAAAGCUCUGUCUUUGGGGACGAUAAUGACGGUACCCAAGGAGGAAGCCACGGCUAACUACGUGCCAGCAGCCGCGGUAAUACGUAGGUGGCAAGCGUUGUCCGGAAUUAUUGGGCGUAAAGCGCGCGCAGGCGGAUAGGUCAGUCUGUCUUAAAAGUUCGGGGCUUAACCCCGUGAUGGGAUGGAAACUGCCAAUCUAGAGUAUCGGAGAGGAAAGUGGAAUUCCUAGUGUAGCGGUGAAAUGCGUAGAUAUUAGGAAGAACACCAGUGGCGAAGGCGGCUGUCUGGUCUGUAACUGACGCUGAGGCUCGAAAGCAUGGGUAGCGAACAGGAUUAGAUACCCUGGUAGUCCAUGCCGUAAACGAUGAAUGCUAGGUGUUGGAGGGUUUCCGCCCUCAGUGCCGCAGCUAACGCAUUAAGCAUUCCGCCUGGGGAGUACGGUCGCAAGGUUGAAACUCAAAGGAAUUGACGGGGGCCCGCACAAGCGGUGGAGCAUGUGGUUUAAUUCGAAGCAACGCGAAGAACCUUACCAGGUCUUGACAUCCGCCUGACCGAUCCUUAACCGGAUCUUUCCUUCGGGACAGGCGAGACAGGUGGUGCAUGGUUGUCGUCAGCUCGUGCCGUGAGAUGUUGGGUUAAGUCCCGCAACGAGCGCAACCCCUAUCCUCAGUAGCCAGCAUUUAAGGUGGGCACUCUGGGGAGACUGCCAGGGAUAACCUGGAGGAAGGCGGGGAUGACGUCAAAUCAUCAUGCCCCUUAUGAUUUGGGCUACACACGUGCUACAAUGGCGUAAACAAAGGGAAGCGAGAUCGUGAGAUGGAGCAAAUCCCAAAAAUAACGUCCCAGUUCGGACUGUAGUCUGCAACCCGACUACACGAAGCUGGAAUCGCUAGUAAUCGCAGAUCAGAAUGCUGCGGUGAAUACGUUCCCGGGUCUUGCACUCACCGCCCGUCA